This 848-nucleotide ribosomal RNA is filed under the name uncultured bacterium. RNAcentral's name for it is "bacterial SSU rRNA". It matches the Rfam family "Bacterial small subunit ribosomal RNA", at positions 8 to 826 of the family's 1533-position model. The record is from RNAcentral.
AGAGUUUGAUCAUGGCUCAGGACGAACGCUGGCGGCGUGCUUAACACAUGCAAGUCGAACGGAGAGCGAUGGAAGCUUGCUACUAUCAAUCUUAGUGGCGAACGGGUGAGUAACGCGUAACCAACCUGCCCUUCAGAGGGGGAUAACAACGGGAAACCGUUGCUAAUACCGCGUACGAUUAAGCUUCGGCAUCGGAGUUUAAUGAAAGGUGGCCUCUAUAUAUAAGCUAUCGCUGAAGGAGGGGGUUGCGUCUGAUUAGCUAGUUGGAGGGGUAACGGCCCACCAAGGCAAUGAUCAGUAGCCGGUCUGAGAGGAUGAACGGCCACAUUGGGACUGAGACACGGCCCAAACUCCUACGGGAGGCAGCAGUGGGGAAUCUUCCGCAAUGGACGAAAGUCUGACGGAGCAACGCCGCGUGGGUGAUGACGGCCUUCGGGUUGUAAAGCUCUGUUAAUCGGGACGAAUGGUCUUUGUGUGAAUAAUGCAGAGAAUUGACGGUACCGGAAUAGAAAGCCACGGCCAACUACGUGCCAGCAGCCGCGGUAAUACGUAGGUGGCAAGCGUUGUCCGGAAUUAUUGGGCGUAAAGCGCGCGCAGGCGGUUGUAUAAGUCUGAAGUAAAAGGCAGUGGCUUAACCAUUGUGUGCUUUGGAAACUGUACAACUUGAGUGCAGAAGGGGAGAGUGGAAUUCCAUGUGUAGCGGUGAAAUGCGUAGAUAUAUGGAGGAACACCGGUGGCGAAAGCGGCUCUCUGGUCUGUAACUGACGCUGAGGCUCGAAAGCGUGGGGAGCGAACAGGAUUAGAUACCCUGGUAGUCCACGCCGUAAACGAUGAGUGAUGGGUGUUGG